GCAGUAGCCGCGGGAAUACGUAGGGUGCAAGCGUUAAUCGGAAUUACUGGGCGUAAAGCGUGCGCAGGCGGUUAUAUAAGACAGAUGUGAAAUCCCUGAGCUUAACUUAGGAAUUGCAUUCGAUACUGGGAAGCUAGAGUAUGGGAGAGGAUGGUAGAAUUCCAGGUGUAGCGGUGAAAUGCGUAGAGAUCGGAAGGAACAUCUGUGGCGAAGGCGACUAUCUGGGCCAACACUGACACUGAGGCACGAAAGCGUGGGGAGCAAACAGGAUUAGAUACCCGGGUAGUCCCUGUCUCUUAUAA
Molecule: ribosomal RNA, 302 nt
Filed under: uncultured bacterium
Lineage: Bacteria
Description: partial 16S ribosomal RNA
Rfam family: Bacterial small subunit ribosomal RNA
Source: RNAcentral